GGGGGGCGUGGCACACGCGAGGAUCAGACGAGCUGGGCGUGACAAUGUAGAUUAGCGCUUUGUAUUGUUAUAAAUCCAAUUGAAACUCAAAUAUAUCACGAAAAUGAAUAUACCCAAAGCUGGCGGCGUGAACAGACCGAAGACGUCACAAGUAAACUUUUUGUUGUUUGCUGUCAAAAAAUAAAGAUAAGUUUGACCACUAGAUGGGGGAAAAACAUUUCUUUCCAGAACUGACUAAUCUUCAAUGUAUAUCUGAUUUAAGCACCCCAAUAGAUUUAACAUGCCAGCAUUUUUCUGUAUUUGAACCCUUAUAUGGGUAUCUUUAAAGGAAACCGUCUUCAUUUUACAUUUAACUCAUUUAUCUGGCAUCUAAUCCAAAGCUCCUUACAGCAGUGGGAAGGAUUACAAUUAAUAUGUAUUCUCUGGGGAGUAAACUGCUUUGUGGUGACUUGGUUGUGAAAGGUGCUACAUAAAGGUAAAUUGAAUUGAAUAAGUGUUACUGUUGCAGCUAAUUUGUUUGUGUUCAUUGGGCAAUACUAAAACUAAUGACAACAAAAAAGAUAAAAAUCCUUUAAAAUAUUAAAUUCCUCCAUUUUAGCGUGAUGUUAAUGGUGGGAAUUGACUGCCCAUCAGCUUCUGCUACAUUAUCUAAAAGCAUUUUACAUUAUCCCUGCCCAAAGCCCCCAGUGAGCGAGCCAGACGUAACAGUGGCAAGGAAAAACUUCCUAGUAGCAAGAAACCUUGAGAGGACCAGGAAGGGGGAGCCCGUCCCCCAGGGGCUGGGAGAGGAAACUCCAAAAUAGCAAAGUCGCAGUUUAUGAAGUAAAGUUGCGUAUAGUUCAGGUAUGAAUGUGGAAGAGUCACUGAAGCUGAUUUCAGGGCAGGCAGGUGAUGGGGCUGCUUUCGACAGCACAAUGGGUGGUGGUGUGUACAGGCAGGAGAGAUGUCAUUGGCAAAGGGAACAUCAUUGGCAGCCGGGCAGACAGGAGAGACAUUAAUGGCUGGAGGUCAGGCAGGAGGUACCUCCCUUCAGGAGAGAUGUCAUUGGCAAAGGGGACAUCACUGGCAGCCGGGCAGACAGGAGAGACAUUAAUGGCUGGAGGUCAGGCAGGAGGUACCUCCCUUCAGGAGAGAUGUCAUUGGCAAAGGGGACAUCACUGGCAGCCGGGCAGACAGGAGAGACAUUAAUGGCUGGAGGUCAGGCAGGAGGUACCUCCCUUCAGGAGAGAUGUCAUUGGCAAGGGGGACAUCACUGGCAGCCGGGCAGACAGGAGAGACAUUAAUGGCUGGAGGUCAGGCAGGAGGUACCUCCCUUCAGGAGAGAUGUCAUUGGCAGUGGAGCUGAUUGGGUCUCUGUAUUUCCGCUGGUCUUUACAGUGGAGAUGACUGAUUCUCUGUAUUACAGCUGGUCCUUACAGUGGAGAUGACUGGGUCAUUGUAUUACAGCUGGUCCUUACAGUGGAGAUGACUGGGUCACUGUAUUACAGGUGGUCCUUACAGUGGAAAUGACUGGGUCACUGUAUUACAGCUAAGGCCUACAGUAGAGCCAGCACAGUAUUAUACCAGGUCCAUACUGUGGAGCUGUGGAACUGUUUCUUUCUUAUCCUGAAGUAAGUUUGUUUCUUAUGUUGGCAUCCUGUCACACCACCCACCCUAACCCCCCCACCAUCAAACUACCCCGGCUGGGAGCAUCAAAGAACACCUCAGUUCACUGAGAUUACCUUAGAAUGCCGCUUGUUAACACACAAAAUAAGCUCUUCUGGUGUAGAGGUUAGGGUUAGGGUUAGGGUUAUAACCACAGGGUCCUCCCUCUUAAGCAAAGACGGUACUACAGGAUCUCCAGGAAAUAACCAGUUGUCCAAAUGUGUUGUGUUCUUAAAAUGUAGACAUUACAGCCCAUGAAGCUACUAUUUGUUUAGGCACCCAGGAAUGCCAGAGAGGUGCCUGCAUGAAGAUGCUAUCAGGCCUGCCCUUCAGACGGCAUAUCCUCCUGAACGGGAGCUGGCAACGCUCAGAUUGCUGUCCACAUCCCUGGCACGAAGCUAUCAUGACCAGGAAAUGUGAGGGGAAUGUUGAUGUGUCUGUGUAAGGUGGGCAUGGUGGGUAGAGGGGGUUUGGGAAGUAAAGCUGAUGGAACCCCCUGGGGAAUGAGGUGCUCAACACCAGAAAGUCCAGUAAAAUGUCCAGAAAGUCUACCUACGGCAAACAGCUCAGGAUGUAAGCUGAUCUUUAGGAAAUGGCUCAGGUUAGCUUGAAAUGGAUGUUUAUUUUUUAGGGUUUUUAAAGUUAUUUAUAAGCAGGAAAUAAUUUUAAGAAUGCCUAAGGUGUAUUAUAUCCUAUUAGCUAUGCUGUUUGAUGCAUACAGAGGGGGUGCUGGAAGCGUCUGAUGGAAGCCCCUGUCCAGGAAAUCUUUAACUCCCGCAGCACUUCUCUUACAUCCCGUGGGAUUCAGGGGACUUUGAGCCUGAAUGGCAAUGUUCUGAGACUCCAUUGCUGAGGCAGCAUUGAAGAGCUAUGGCUGUAAGACUGUUAGUGCCUGUCAUGGUGGCAAUAAAUUGGCUUUGGCAGUUGCCGAAGCAAAAACUUAGGUAUGGGAGUUCAGUUCAGGUAUGGAGAAGGACAUUAGUUUGGCCUCAAAAUAAUUCUGGCAAAUUGUCAGGUGACUAGCAGGGCUUUACUCAUGCUGGUUACAACAGGGAUGGUGAACUCUUGUCCUCAAAUGGGUAUAUAAUCAGGCAGUGGAAAGGAUAUUUUGAGGACAUCCUGAAUCCCACUGAUACAGCUUCCUUGGAGGAAGUAGAGCUGGAAGACUCAGAGAAGGACUUGUACACCUCUAUGACUGAGGUCACCGAAAUAGUCAAAAAGUUCUUCGGUGGAAAGGCUCCAGCAGUGAAUGAGAUUCGCCCUGAGUUCUUGAAAACUCUUGAUGUUGUUGGGCUGUUUUGGCUGACACGCCUCUUAAAUAGUGCAUAGAGGUUAGAGACAGUGCCUUUGGAUUGGGAGACUGGGGUUGUGGUCCCAAUAUUUAACUGGAGGGGGGCUGGACUGUUUCAACUGCAUGGGGAUCACACUCGUCAGCCUCCCUGAGAAGGAGCAAUACGUUUAUGAAACCCAAGCAGGUCACGCCUCGAGUCUGUAACUGGGCACAUUAAGAUGUGCUUCACUCUGCCAUUCAAACAGCUGCAGGGCUUAACAGGUUCGUGCGUGGUUGGACAUAUUUGCAUCUGUGGUUGUAUGUGCGUAUGUGCGUCUGUGGUUGUAUGUGCGUCUGUGGUUGUAUGUGCGUAUGUGCGUCUGUGGUUGUAUGUGCGUAUGUGCAUCCCUGGUUGCUUGUGUGUAUUUGCGUCUGUGGUUGUAUGUGCGUAGGCACAUGUAUGGCUCUAUUAACCAGAGUAAAUUUGCUUUCUUGAAUGAGUCCAAUGAAAAAUAUACAUGGUGGGGAGGUCCCUGUAAGAACAACUGCAUUUUUAUAGCAGUUGUAGUUUAUCAUUUUUCCCCUGUUGUCGAGUGCUCGUGGUUGGCAUGAGGGCCCCUUAAUGAUGGUGAAGUGGAACAUCUUCAGAAAUAUAUCUGCAGAUAACAUAUUUAUAGGUAACCUAUGCCAACUUUUCAGUUGACACAUUUAGAGAAAACCUCCUCCUGGAAACUAAGGGAUUGACAAGAAUGAAACAAAAUACAAGAAGAAAGAUACAGACUAUAUGGGCCUGUUUAUCCAGGGGUGGGUCUCCCUGUCAGGACAUGUGCCAAACUGGGACUGUGAGGACCAGCCACACAAAACUCUUGAUUUUUCUUAUUACUUUUUAUUUAUUUUUUGUGACUUCAGCUGGGAUAGAAGUCGUUAAUUCUGUUCAGCGGCAAUGGGACAUUCCUACAACUAUAGCGUAUAAUGUACAGUGUGUGUGUGUCUCUGUCUACGUGUGUGAAUACUGAACUGUGAACAUGGAUGCACCUCCCUGGGGGAAAGAUGGGGAGAGCAGCCAGAUGUGGGGGUCUACUAUGACCCCCACAAAGCCAUCCCCUUCCAAGCAAAACAAGUCACGCUCUCAGUGUGCUGGGAGAGAAUUUGGCCCAGGUUCACUCACAGUUUAUCUUUUGUGUACCUCCCAGCACCAGUCAGUGGCCUCCGAAUGGCCGAACAAAAGCUCCUGGAAUGCCGAUGUGGCUUUGCCGGCAGCUUCCACAUGCGCCCUCUGCACAAAGUCACUUGCCAGCAUGAGAUCAUAGCUGUGGGCCGCUCUGCCUCGGAGCCCAGCUGCCUGCUUUCUCCUCAGCUGGAUAUCGGGCUGUUCCAUGGCACAGUGCAAACGUGGAUGGGACAGAACAGCAAGGCAAGCUUUCGGCCGCUUUGCCCAUGAGUUUAACGGGAGUUCUUUUCGUUCCCCCCGGAUGGUUUGUUUAGGAAUAUAAAGCAGUGACCACCUGCACUCAAAGGCAGCCAGCUGGAUCUCCCUCCAGUCCAUUGUGUCAUUCGGAUAAAAUUGCUCUCUCACGACAAAUUUAAGUGACCACAUAGCUUGGACUUUUUAGAAGUUGAUUUUUUUUGCCACAACUGCUCCCUGUGGAAGGUCUGUGUGAACUCCUGCUGGGUUUGGCUCUGCUCCCUCAGAAUUUGGGAGCCUCAGGUCUUUCUCUCUGUCCCCAGGACAUAGAUAUACAUGCAAGUUGCUGCAAGAACACACCCCAUGCCUGCUUCUCUGCUACAAUCUUUGCAUCAUUCAGGGGAGACCAGGGACAUCUGAUGAUUUUUUUUUCCAUUUUUACAAGUUGAUGAAUAAUAAGUUUUGUAAGUUGUGCAGGAGGAUUAGGUAACUAUCCUUUGAAACACCUGACCCUGUACAACAAUUGUGGAAGGAAUCCCUAACUAUCUAAUAUGCGGAUGCCUGUCACCUUCAGAAAUCACUGACUGUUGAGAGCAGAAAUGCAGGAAGGCAUUGAACUACCAGCUUAGGAGUGUCUGAAGUGAACAUGCCCAUCUCACACAGGAAAAGGCCCCAUUUAGUCCAGUUCAGCACAGUCCUGUCUAUGGUGUUAAUACAGAAAGGCCUUUGAUUUUUUUUAACUUUUUUAUUUAAAUAUGUUGCUAAUGUGGAAUGAGGUGUUCCUGUAGCCUUUUGAGUUCAAAUAGACAUACUGUGAAUAAGUGGUCUCCCCUAUUACAAGAAUGUCAAAAUGCCUGGUCUUUUAUAUUAACAACAUUAUGGUUUGUUGGUGAAUUAAUUUGAAAAUACUUUGCACAAUGACCAGGUAAGCCGAAACCAUGAAAUUUACUAUUGCUUGAGCAUUUAAUUUAAGUUCUCAAAAUGUGCUUGCCAGACAGCCUGAGACAUAACAGUUAAAAAAAUAGGAAAAUACGUAAGAUAUGCUUAGAAUAAUAUGUAAGAUUGGGAACAAACUGGGCCAAGGUAGAUUAAUGAUGUAACUCUAUAAACAGUGCUUACCUGGUCAUCAGCAAACCAAACAAACACCGCGAUACAGAUGGUCUUAUUCUGAUUUUGAUUAAACUGUUCUUGUCAUCAAAA
Long non-coding RNA from Brienomyrus brachyistius, 5519 nucleotides. RefSeq lists it as uncharacterized. The record is from RefSeq and is a predicted model, not a curated record. The transcript has 2 exons. NCBI's taxonomy places the organism in Eukaryota, Metazoa, Chordata, Actinopteri, Osteoglossiformes, Mormyridae.